GCUAUACAGAGAAACCCUGUCUUGAAAAACCAAAAAAAAAAAAAAAAAAAAGAGUGGUGACUAAGAGGCCAAGAGACCUGUAUGGUUUUUCUCUCUAAGUUUUAAAAAAUUAUUCCAUAUAUUUUAAAGUUGUAAUUAUAUCCUUACUUAAUGUUACAUGAUACCUUGAUUGCUAAAAGACUGGGCUAUAGGAAUUAGGAAAGCUGGAGGAGGGAAAACCCACCCUAACUCUCCUGUGCUGGAGAGUUCAGGGUACCUGGCAGGUAUUCCAACCAACAUGUCCCCACAACAGGUAGGAGCUGAGGGAGACUAGCAGCCAGAAUCUGGUUUGAUAUGUUCACAGUGACCCCAACCACUUGUCCAAAUUUGAGAACUAACAAUUAAAAUUAUUUUAGUGACUUUGGUUAAUAAUGAAGGCAAUUUUGUUGUUGUUGUUGCUUUAUUGAGACAUGGUUUGACUUUGUAGUCCAGGCUGGCCUGCAACUCACUGUGUACCUCAACCUGCCUUAGUUUCCCCAGUGCGGACACUACAGGCAUAAACCACCAUGCCCAGGCAAAAUAGUUUUAAUAACAUGUGAAUUAUGUUAAAUUUUAAAUUAUUAUUUAAAACCAUGCAAAUUGAUUUUGUAAAUUAUUUGAGUCAAUAAAACAGUAUUGAUGUUGGUUUGGGAGUUGUUCUCAGGAGUUAGGAAGGACAGUGAAAAGAGAGAAGUUAAGGGCAGGUUGAGCAGAAACUUCCCUGUGAGAAGCUGUCAGCAGCAGGAGGGGAGCUAGCCCAGAAGACUGAUUUCUGCAGCAUCUCCCUGCAGCACUGACUCUGUUCUCAACAGCUCUGCAGGCUGGAGCUGAAUCCUCUGUGUUUCCAGGCCCUGCAGCUGCCUGUGCAGGCUUGGUUUCCUGAGGUGCUUGAGAGCAGCUGGCAUGUGGGUGGGGCCCAGGAACUCUGGCCUGGAUUCUGUGGCUAUAGGCCUUUCUUUUUGUUUGACCUUCUGACAAGAUUUAACAAGUUUCUUGAGGCAAGAAGCCCUCUUCCUCCAACACUGUGUUCCCUACUGCCCUGCAUACCUUUUCCUAGAGGCCCGCACUGUAACCAGAUGGCUCUACAAUGCAGCCCUGCAGGAACUAGCUUAUUGGGCAAUGCUAUCCUUACUAUCUGUGCAUGAAGCAUGUGGAAGGCCAUGCCUUGGUUUUGGGGUAUUUAUGUAAAUAAGCACCUAAAAGAAAAUAUUCACUUGUACUUUUAAGGCAGGUUAAAUGGAUAUUAUGAACUCCUGUCCUGCUUUGGGCCACCACAUACUUGAUUUAUUUAAUAAGUUGUUCUCAUAAUCAAGAAUAACAAGGGAGCUUAGAGCCUGUUAGUGUAGCUUCCUUGAUCUGAAGCAAAUCAAAGAGGUCAAUUAAUUACUCAUGAUGACAUUUUAUAUAUUAUUAUUUUACUUUUGUAAUUACCACAGUCCUUAUAAUUAGUCUUCUAAUUACUUAAAAUAUUUAACAUUAAGUAGGGAUAUAAUUACAACUUAAAAAUAUAUGGAAUAAUUUUUUAAAACUUAGAGAGAAAAACCACACAGCUCUAUAGAGAAUAUUUUAUAUAUCAACAAUUAUUUGUAAUUAUUUAAGC
This 1618-nucleotide long non-coding RNA is filed under the name Mus musculus (house mouse). RNAcentral's name for it is "long non-coding RNA chr13:9328629-9330247". Lineage: Eukaryota; Metazoa; Chordata; Mammalia; Rodentia; Muridae. The record is from RNAcentral.